RNAcentral lists this ribosomal RNA (496 nucleotides) under uncultured bacterium. RNAcentral describes it as "bacterial SSU rRNA". It matches the Rfam family "Bacterial small subunit ribosomal RNA", at positions 30 to 524 of the family's 1533-position model. The record is from RNAcentral.
AUUGAACGCUGGCGGUAUGCUUAACACAUGCAAGUCGAACGGUAACAGGCCUUCGGGCGCUGACGAGUGGCGGACGGUGAGUAACGCGUAGGAAUCUGCCUCAUAGUGGGGGACAACGUGGGGAAACUCACGCUAAUACCGCAUACGCCCUACGGGGAAAGCGGGGGAUCUUCGGACCUCGCGCUAUGAGAUGAGCCUGCGUUAGAUUAGCUAGUUGGUAGGAUAAAGGCCUACCAAGGCGACGAUCUAUAGCUGGUCUGAGAGGACGAUCAGCCACACUGGGACUGAGACACGGCCCAGACUCCUACGGGAGGCAGCAGUGGGGAAUAUUGGACAAUGGGCGCAAGCCUGAUCCAGCAAUACCGCGUGUGUGAAGAAGGCCUUAGGGUUGUAAAGCACUUUCAAUUGGGAGGAAAACCUGCCGGUCAAUACCCGGUAGCUUGACAUUACCUUUAGAAGAAGCACCGGCUAACUCCGUGCCAGCAGCCGCGGUAAU